AGAUGCUUUGCUUAGCUUCUAAGUAUCCUACCCAUGGUUGGCCUAUAUGUACCGCAAACCUGCCUUUGUGGCUGUGUGGUUAAUGAGAAAGUGAUCUAUUGGGCCAAUAGUUUCUUGGUUCAAUCAUUAAAUGUAACGCCUGCAAGAACAUGUUUGCGUCUGUAGUUAGCCACAUUUCUGUGGCUUUUGUUGUCUUGUUUGUUGGUUCAAUGUAACGCUUGCAAGAACACCUUGGAUUCUGAUUUAUGCUUACUCUUUGAUGUUUGGUAUCUGUUGAAAUGUCCCAGUACAUGUCUUCCUGAAGUGUCCAAGCUGCAAGUUUUAUCCAUAAUUGGUCAUGUAUUUGGAACUCUACACCAUACUGUCAACACCAUUUUCUUCUUGAGUAUAGCCUAUUUCUAUUUUAGUGCUAUUUGUACUCUUCAAAUUUCUUCAAACUCAUUGAUGAAGUGCUGUGACGACUACAGAAUUUUUUUUGAGAAAUGAGGCAUGGUAUUGUUUGGACAAACUGGAGUUCUCCAUCUAGGACAAUAAUGGAACACUGUAUUGGCCAUUUUGCUUUCUUUCCCCCCUCCAGGCUGCUCCUUUUGCUUUGGAAUUUGAUGCAUUUUCUUUUACAUUAAUAUUCUUGACUUGUAUAGCAAUGAUGAGGUAUUUGCAUUAAUAUUCUUGACUCGUCUAGCAAUGAUGAGGUAUUUAGUCCUACCGGUCAGUUUGAUGUCUGCAAUGGUGACAUGGUGGUGAAAGAGCAGCACCACUGCAUCCCAAUUCAUGGACCAGUGAUGGAAGAGGGCGAUGAUUUCCGCUUUUAAAGGGAAACGAGGGCAGUUGCAGACAAUGGUACUGUGUGGCGUCUGAAAGGAUGGCAGUGGCAGCAGAAAACUAGCGGUGUGGUGUUGGGUUGGUGGCCUAUUCCCACAGUUGGAUUUGGAGACUGGAGUAUUGUACAAAACUGUUGAGGGAAUCUUAGCCAUAAUUGGGAAAGAAGAUGCCUUAGUUGUCGCAUACUUUCUUCUUUACCACGGCAUGCGACAGGUAACUUGUGUACUCUAUAUGCUGAUUAAUUCAUCAUAUCAACAUUUGUUUA
This is a long non-coding RNA of Panicum hallii, 1087 nucleotides long. RefSeq lists it as uncharacterized. Lineage: Eukaryota; Viridiplantae; Streptophyta; Magnoliopsida; Poales; Poaceae. The transcript is spliced from 2 exons. The record is from RefSeq and is a predicted model, not a curated record.